UACGAAGGGGGCUAGCGUUGUUCGGAUUUACUGGGCGUAAAGCGCACGUAGGCGGAUUGGUCAGUUAGGGGUGAAAUCCCAGAGCUCAACUCUGGAACUGCCUUUAAUACUGCCAGUCUAGAGUCCGGAAGAGGUGAGUGGAACUCCUAGUGUAGAGGUGGAAUUCGUAGAUAUUAGGAAGAACACCAGUGGCGAAGGCGGCUCACUGGUCCGGUACUGACGCUGAGGUGCGAAAGCGUGGGGAGCAAACAGG
RNAcentral lists this ribosomal RNA (253 nucleotides) under uncultured bacterium. Its description in RNAcentral is "partial 16S ribosomal RNA". It matches the Rfam family "Bacterial small subunit ribosomal RNA", at positions 524 to 776 of the family's 1533-position model. The record is from RNAcentral.